UCUUGAAUUAUGACUUAAAUUCUGAAAAAAAAAAUUCAUUUUUGAAAUUGUAAUCUUAUUACAUUGAAAACUAAAAUUGCUUCGAAAAAGUAUAAAAAAAAAAGGUUAUCAAACGCGUCAUAAAAUAGAAGACGAAGAACAGUACUCUUUAAACUAAAUCCAAUUCUCUGACUUCAAUCAAAAGAAGUAUAAAAUCCCUAGAUGCUUCCUAAUCCAAGCAUGGAUUUUGGUUCAUUGAGCUCCAUUAAGCAGACCCUGAGAGAGAAUUUAAUUGUAGUUUAAUAAAAAUCAACGUUUAAAUUAUCGAUUGUGCUAUAUUUAUGUCACGACUUACAAAUGUGAUAAAAUUUGAUUGGAUCAAAAUCUUAAAAAUCAAAUUAAAAAGAAAAAGAAAAAAGAGUAAUGUUACUUGUGCAUAAUAGAAUUACCUAAUGGUUCAUAUAUAGAUGAAAUGUCAAAAAGAGAAUGGAGAUUUUUUUUGGGGAAAAUUGCAGCAUAAGUCCCAAACUUUUGAAACAUUAGCAGACAUUUUCCAAACAUUUCAUUUGUUGUAGCCGUCACCCCCAACAUUUUCAGAUGUUGUAUGUGAGGUCCCUUUAGAUGAUUUCCGUAAAAAAUUUCGACACUUGACCAUCAAAAUAAACUUUGACAAUCUUUUAAUCAAUUUUAAAAGGGUAAAACGGUAACUUUCUAUUUACCACAUUAAACAAUUAAAAAACUUAAAUCAAAAACCAAAAAAAAAAAAAGGAAAGAAAAUCCAUCUUCUUUCCCACCCCACCCCUUCAAUCUAAAACAAAAUGCAUGGCCAGAAGCAGCCUGUACAAACAAGGAGAUGCAACACAUUACCAAAAUUGAUCCCAAAGUAAAUUCACUCGCCCAAGCAAAUAACACAGAAACCCCGCCACCGUUUUCACCACCCACAAACUCCAUAACGGCCCUCUCAUCCCAAACCUCCGCCCCAUCUCGUCGAAAAUCAACUCGCCUGCUGGUCGAGACACGUAAUUUGUUAGAAUUUAUUGAAUGAAGAAACUUCAAUUGAACUCCAUAAAGGAGAAGAACAAACUCCAUAAUAUGAGAAGAAAAGGCACUCCAUGAAGGGAGGAAAUACACUCCAUGAAGGAGGAGAGAAACCUCCGUAAAAGGAGGGAUUGGAAAACUAUACUCCAAUGAAUUACAAUGAACAACCGGUUGUGUAUUUAUAGAGAAAAUGUCUAACUAAACUAACUGUCAACUACUAACUACUAUGACGAUUGGAAGAGAAUCUUGUGAGCUGGAGAAUUUGUUACAGCUAGAAGGAUCCAUGUGAAAUGAAUCUAGAACGUUGAAUCUGAAGUCUGGAUUGCUCAACUACAAGGGAUCUGGUGCAAUUCUAAUACACGCCCCUCAAGAUGGACUAUCCAUCUUGUCCAUCUUGAAGAUUAAGGGGAAUGGAUGCAAAAAAAAGUUCUGGUAAAAACAAUGGCUUCUGCAUCUGAAGAAGAAUGUCUUCUGAUGAUGAUCAACCCAGAAGAAGAAACGUCUUCUUUUGGCUUUUAACUAAGUGAUUAUUUUCAAUCUGAUGGCGUUGAUUGUUCCGUCAUUCAUCAGCGAUUCCAGAACAUCAUUCUCAUUAACAAUCAGGUCAUCUGGUCUGUACUUCCAAAAGUUAGGAUCCUGCCUCAACAGAGUUUAAACUUCUUCCUUCUCAACAUAUGAUAUCCCACAAUAUUGUGGAUCAAUAAGAAAGCCAACAAAUGAAAUGUAUUCAACAGGCACCUGUUGAAGCCUAUUAAUCUAGUGGAUGAAACACUCGAGUUAUCGAAAGAUCUACAACUGCAGCAUCAGGUAGUGGCAACAAAGACAAAACUCUGCAUGAUGCAUGUGAUUGAUUGGCUAUGGAGAAGCAAAGAUUUAUUUUAGUUUGCUGAUUCAUUUCGCAAUAAGCUCAAAUUCUUCUAUGAACUGGAAAAUGUUGCUACCAGUUUUUAUUUUCUGAACAUGAAUGUCUUUUGUACUUUGAAGGUUCCGCCCAUUAACAACAGCCUUCAGAAAACACAGAAUUGCUGAAAAAAAUCAUGAUUCCAGUAGAAUGUUGGAAAUGAUAGCAGCAAAAUUCUGGAAAAGAAGAGCAAAAAUCUGAAGUCAAAGUUAUCUUCAGAUGUCGACAAAUUGAAGAAUGAUCUGUAUGAACUGUGAUAAAUCUGCUUUCGUUGAGUAGAAGACAGGAAGAAUGAGAUGAAUUAAAUUUCAGGAAAACGACAGCAGGAAGGAAAUUCUUUUGCUCUAAUACCACGUUAGAAAAUUUCAAUUGAACUCCAUAAAGGAGAAAAACAAACUCCAUAAUAGGAGAAGAAAAGGCAAUCCAUGAAAAGAGGAAAUACAUUCCAUGAAGGAGGAGAGAAACCUCCAUAAAAGGAGGGAUUGUAAGACUAUACUCCAAUGAAUUACAAUGAACAACCGGUUGUGUAUUUAUAGAGAAAAUGUCUAACUAAACUAACUAUCAACUACUAACUACUAUGACAAUUGGAAGAGAAUCUUGUGAGCUGGAGAAUCUAUUACA
This 2539-nucleotide long non-coding RNA is filed under the name Olea europaea subsp. europaea. The record is from RNAcentral. Lineage: Eukaryota; Viridiplantae; Streptophyta; Magnoliopsida; Lamiales; Oleaceae.